GUGAUGUCAACUCUGGGGACUGAACGAUGACGUGACUGACCUGCCCUGA
RNAcentral lists this small nucleolar RNA (49 nucleotides) under Pyrobaculum arsenaticum DSM 13514. RNAcentral's name for it is "PARsR32". The record is from RNAcentral. Lineage: Archaea; Thermoproteati; Thermoproteota; Thermoprotei; Thermoproteales; Thermoproteaceae. RNAcentral also lists the same sequence under 1 other name.